GAUGAACGCUGGCGGCGUGCUUAACGCAUGCAAGUCGAACGGAAAGGCCAGUGCUUGCACUGGUGCUCGAGUGGCGAACGGGUGAGUAACACGUGGGUGAUCUGCCCUGCACUUUGGGAUAAGCCUGGGAAACUGGGUCUAAUACCAGAUAGGACCAUGCUUUGGAUGGUGUGGUGGAAAGUUUUUUCGGUGUGGGAUGAGCUUGCGGCCUAUCAGCUUGUUGGUGGGGUAAUGGCCUACCAAGGCGUCGCCGGGUAGCCGGCCUGAGAGGGUGUACGGCCACAUUGGGACUGAGGUACGGCCCAGAUUCCUACGGGAGGCAGCAGUGGGGAAUAUUGCACAAUGGGCGCAAGCCUGAUGCAGCGACGCCGCGUGGGGGAUGACGGCCUUCGGGUUGUAAACUCCUUUCGCAACUGACGAAGCUUUUUGUGACGGUAGGUUGAGAAGAAGCACCGGCUAACUACGUG
Molecule: ribosomal RNA, 467 nt
Filed under: uncultured bacterium
Lineage: Bacteria
Description: partial 16S ribosomal RNA
Rfam family: Bacterial small subunit ribosomal RNA
Source: RNAcentral